Molecule: non-coding RNA, 74 nt
Organism: Aedes albopictus (Asian tiger mosquito)
Lineage: Eukaryota; Metazoa; Arthropoda; Insecta; Diptera; Culicidae
Source: Rfam
UGUUCUGUGGCUUAGUUGGUUAAAGCGCCGGUCUAGCGAAUACGGAGUUGUGGGUUCGAAUCCCACCAGAACGC